Long non-coding RNA from Lutra lutra (Eurasian river otter), 1023 nucleotides. RefSeq lists it as uncharacterized. The transcript is spliced from 3 exons. The record is from RefSeq and is a predicted model, not a curated record. NCBI's taxonomy places the organism in Eukaryota, Metazoa, Chordata, Mammalia, Carnivora, Mustelidae.
CAGAAACACCCUGCUAAAGAACAAGUAUCUUGGUUCACAGCAAAGAGGACAAAGGAAAACAGCAAGUUAUAGGGAGUUGAAUGCUGGAUUAACAGGGGGCUGAAUGACUCAUAUGGCUGAGAUUUUGUACAACUUGACAGUAAAGACAGUGAGAUGAAAGACACUGAGCUAAUCUAGCAGAAGUAAACAUUGGGAGAUUUUACCAAGACAUGGACACAUUAGAGCAUAGUUAUUGAAGAAUGUCCAGAAUCAGAGAAAUUAACCUGGAAAAUAGAAAACUCUGGUAACCUACAAUAGCUGCACUUAAAUACUUAAGAGAUGGUCAUGAGGAAGAAGUAUUAGAUUUAUUCUCUAGAUGUCCUAUUGGGAAAAAUGGCAACAUGGUUGUGAGUUGAUUGCUAGGAACUGAGGUGGUGAGAGAUAAGGCUGGAGAGUACAAAGGGUCCAAGGCACAAAGAAGUUGCCAUACUAAGAGAGUGAAUAAGGAGAAAAUACAGAAGGGCUGUAUGCAGUGGAAAAACAGGAGCAAGUUUUGUAUUUUUGGAAGGUCUUUGGUUGACUGCGAAAGCAGAGGCUGGCAUCAAAAGAUGUUGGGAGGAGGGUGCUCCCUAUGAAUGGGGUCCAGAUAGAAUAACCUCAAGACAUUUAGAUUUUAACUACGAAUGUACAACUUUGGGGAAAAUCAAAGCACUGCUUAAUUGCUUUUCCAGAAUUAUCCUGUGGUCACAAUCGCUCUUAAAAUUAACAGAAAGGCAAGGUUUAUAUUUCCUUGAGAAAAUUUAAAAAUUCUAGUCUAGAAAUAGCUCACACAGAAAUACAGUGAAUGAGAAAAAGGAACACUGUAAUAAAUUAUAAACUGGAAUUUAAUUAGCAGGGAAAACUAAGCAUAAAGCAAUUCAAAAUAGGCUUGCUUGAGACAGGCUUUGGUUUCUGAAGCUUUAGAAAAUAAGCUUACUCAUACACAGAAAAAAAAUGUGGCAUUGAAAUAUUGUUACCAUCAUCAUCAUCAUCAUCGACUAGAAC